Long non-coding RNA from Gasterosteus aculeatus aculeatus (three-spined stickleback), 11240 nucleotides. Lineage: Eukaryota; Metazoa; Chordata; Actinopteri; Perciformes; Gasterosteidae. The record is from Ensembl.
AGUAUGAUAACGCAACUAAAUGUGGUACAAAAUCUUUAAAAUUCUCCAAACCAAUAGACCUAAGAAAAUGAAUCACCUAAUCAACAUAAAAUGCCUCUCUGGUUGUUGUCAUUCUAUUAUUUGUGAUUGAAUGAAUAAAAGAGUUUAGAUCAACAACUGAUGAUUCGCUACGUGUACAUUUAACACACAACACUGAUGUUAAAACAUAAUCACUUUGUCGUGAGCUUGACGUUUAAAAUGUUUCUGUUUGGCUUCUCAGCUUUUAGCAGUGAAUUAAUUGUGUAGUGUUGUAUGUAUUCAAUUUAGCUUUAGUCUGAAAAGUAAAAUGUUCCAAAGAGGCCAUCCAAUGCACGCUGAGGUAAUGGACCGAAACAACUGAUCCAAUCCCACUCAUGGCUUUGAAUGAGGCCGGCAUGAUGUGCUUGUUUAAUGGCAUAUUCCAUACCUUGCAUUGGGAUUUCAUUUUCAGAUCACGUCCUGAGAGAAUUAUUAGGGAUGAUAGGAACAAACAGAGGAGGAUGGGGCUGGAAAAGCUUAAAGAGCUGAAGCAGACAGCUCUCAGUCUUCCUCUGCAAGCUCAUGCAUACUAAACAUCUGUACGGAUAGGUGAGGCAUCUCACACCAGGAAGUACAGUGGAAGGGGUGAUGUGGACCCCGCAGUCUGGAUGGUCUUCUCAACUUUUGAAUUUUCAAAUGAAUGCUCCCCCUGACCAAAACGUAUGGUUGUCCUGUCUGUGUAUUGAACACUGAGCUGAUCAUUUAAUCAUUGGGACCAUGUACUGCUUGUUAUUCUCACAGUUACAUUCGAAAAGAAAGAUUCUGUGGUUCAUUCAUGUCCCUUCCCCUGUGAAGUUUUUGUUUGUUGUUUAACCAUGCUGUAGAAACGCACUGCUCCCUGCUAUCAGAAGGAGAAUGGGCAAUACUAUCGAUUGGCUUAUGUGAACAAUUCAUGAAUUAUUGAUAAGGUCUUCAGCCCAGCAGUUAUUUGCAUUUUGGUUGUUGUUUUUAACGAGAUGCCUGGGCUUUUAUUCUGGUAGAUGGAUGAUGUGUCAAUCCGCUCUUUAUUCAACGUUAUUAAUUUCUCAGCGCCCGUACACAAGCCAUUUUGGGUCUUCAUUACUAAGAAACGGAGCAAAAAGGAGAACUAACCGAAGGCAAAAUGGAUGGAAAUAAAUCACCGCUGCACUGCCCUGGGCUAAGAUCACAUCCAUGCCCUCCUUAAAUGUGCAAAGAUGAAUAGUUAGCUUUCGCUCACAUGGCUCUUACCUGAGGGAACCAUUUGCAGAUGAAUCUCUCACCUCUUUCUCAGGUUAUCUCCUAAAGCAUCAACACAGCGCCUUACUCCUAAUUUAUUCACAUUUCAGGUACCAUUGGCACCGUCUCCGAGGGGAGAUGAUGGGGCCUGUGUACCCCGCCUGCUCGCCUGCCUGAUUCCCCAGAAAUACAUUAAGGAGCUCAGAGUUUAAAUCUUUUUUUUUUUCUUUCCAGAAUAUCACUCAUAGUUCCCUGUUGACGCCUGUGAAGCUUCACGCAGAUCUUGGCGUUGCCAGGCUUCCCCCCACAAAACAGCAGCUGGCUGAAGGUGGAGAGAAAUUGAGAGAUGGAGAAGUAGAAAAAGAGAAAACAUGCCGCUGUCACUGUAAAGGAAUGUCACUGGUUGAAAGAGAACGCAAAGAGCCCGCAUUCCCCGCUUUGACUUGCGUUUUAAACUUCAAAGCUAUGUGCUUCUAUGUUCUCAGGGACACGCUGAGGGUUAAUCCGUGCAACAAGGCGCUCUGCUAUAUUUCACUCAUUGUGUCGGGCGUCAUCUCAAAAAGUGUCAGUGACAACAUUUGUCAAGUAACAACUGUGACUUUGAGUGUGAAGCAGUGGAAUCCUCUAAACUCUAUAAUCAACCAAAAGCAACCAUCAUAAUGUACAAAGGGGCAUGUCACAUCUAAGACAACCACUUCUGUGCACUGCAUUAAGUCUAAUGCACAAAACCCGUAUAUCACAUACAUCUGCCAAUCACUCCACACAUAAACAUUAUUAUUUUCCUGUAGUCAUCGUUCUGAGCUCUUAAUCAGGACAACAGCUGGUCUGUUCUAUUCGAUAAGCACCACAUUGACGCUGUCGUCAACUUGUUUGUGUCUUUGAAAUACGGUUGUCUCUCCACCUUCAGUACGUCCACGCUGCUGUUUCACAUCACUCCACCUCCCCACCUCCAACCAGUCUUCAUCGGAUUCAUUAGCUUCAGAAUUCUAGCAGCCUCUUCAGCCCACCAGCUCCAGACUAUGGAGGUAUUUACCUUGCUGCUGCUCAGCGCCGACGUCCACCAAUUACAAACCGCAAAUCUACCUGUGUAGAAGUCUGAUCACAUAUCAUCUGUUGAAAAUAAACAUCUUUCACUGACGUGUCUCUCCUGAUUAAACUCCUGUUGGGGAUGGAUUUCAAAGGUUGCAUGACUGGAUUGUAAAUGUUUUAACUGCCUGUAUCACAAUGUGGGUUCAUGUUAUUUUGUAGUUUACUGCCUCUCGUGUCCCUGGGUUCAGUUCACUUCCUGCCUUGGUGGGUUUUCUCCUGUGUCCAAUCACCUUCCCAGUGUAUUUAAACCGUGUGUUUCACUUGUCGGUUCAUAAACUUAUCCAUGCUGGUGAGUCAACUGUUGUUAAUCUUGUUAGAGAGUUGGUUUUGUUUGCCUGUAGGCAGAGAUUAGUUAAAUAAAGUAUUUUUGUUUUGAAAGCGCUUGAGUCCUCCCUCUGGACUGUGGGUGAGUGGGGAGCACGGUCGUCCUCCAAUCAGGGUUGUCGGUUUGAUCCCAGGUUCUGCUAACCCGCAUGUCGAUGUGUCCUUGGGCAAGACACUUAACCCAACAUUGCUCCUGUAGCUGCGACUACAGUGUGUGAAUGUUAGUUACUGAUGGCAGGUGUCACUGUGUGUGGUUCUCCUGUCAUCAGUGUGUGAAUGGGUGUGAAUGGGGGAAUGAUGUCAUGUAGUGUUAAAGCGCUUUGAGUGGUCAGAAGACUAGAAAAGCGCUAUACAAGUACAGGCCAUUUACCAUUAUCUGCUGUCCCUGGAAGAAAUGGGACAGAAUGAACUCACUCUGGAUUCAGCAGACUCUUUUCCAGAAUAUCGACCGGCUAUGCUCGACGUCAGAGGAAAUUCCUCAACAAUUAACACUUGUAUUUUGAUAUACAACCAUCAGCAGGUCAAAGUGACAAACUAAUGAGAUUCACAUUUAAGUUUAGUGCUAAUAUGAAAAUAUAUGUUCACCACUUGCUAAACAUUAGCGUUAACGAUAAAUAUGGUAACGGUAAAUAUGAUAAACAUUCUAUCUGCUGAGAAAAGCACUGCUGUGCUUCAAGCCGUUUAUUGAUGUUGUGUCGGUCAUUCCAUCUGAAUGAUGUGACUAUCGUCCUUGAACCAAAAAGUGUGUAAGAGGUUUAAAAUAUAGACCGCUGUGGCUGAGGUAUAAAUGUCAUCAUCCACUUUAAAGCCAGAUACAAGAGGCUAUUCAUCAGUGAAUCUUAAUAUUUAAUAUUAAAUCUCCUGAGACACUGUAGAUGUGAAUUAUAGCGACAUUCACUUGCCACUUUCAGUGUCAAUUAUUAUCUCUGACCAUUAUCAAAGUGGCAGCGAGCAGAGGCAAGAGAUGAAAUGCUGUAACUCUUUCUCUCUCCUCAACCCGUCCUCUUCCCAUGCCCCCCCCCCCCCCUCCACCUCUUAAGGGUCUUCUCUUUGAAACAUGUCUGGGAGAAGGGAAAGCACAAUAGGUGUGCUAUCAAGUGACAGGUGCCCUUGUUGUGCCUUUAGCUCACAGUGCGAACGAGCCCUCGGCCGCCACCCUCAUAAAACAUGAAAGGACUUGACAUGUGUCCAGAGUUAGGGACUCGCGGCCGCAGCCCACAGCAGAGACGGACACGGACGGGUACAACCUCAUGUAGACACACACACACACACACACACACACACACAAGCAAAGCAGCUUGCUCUUCGGGUUAAAAGGCACAUGGCUGAAGGAGGAGGAACAAUGUGGAGCUGCGGUCGAGGCUGCAUAUUAAAUGUAUUGCUGGAGUUCGGUUAAACAGCUUAAGGUAAAAGGAAGAAGAAAGCUUGGAUAUUCUUGGCUAUGAAGUGGUGAUUGGGCUUGUUUGAGGAUUUCUUCAGCUCAAUUUUUACAUUUACUGCUAUUGAUCUCACCUUAGCGUUUGCCGCUCUGUGGCUUGCCAAGCAGCUAAUGUACAAACCGUCCACAACGUCAGCAGCUGUGUUUCUGAUGCGCAUUGAGCUACAUUGACUAAACAAAGUUGACACACAGCUAAAUCUAAUUUGGGUUUUGCUCAUGGGUCCUUGAAGACGUGUGAAAUAUGCUGGCAGACAGGCUUGGUAAACUGGAUUAAUUCUGAAUUGUCCUUCUGUCACUUCACUGUCACUUCCCCUAUUAAAUUAUUCACUUUUGUUUUUGCCCUCCAUCUGCCACACAUUGCCGUGUAAACUCUCGGUGACCUUUUGCAGUCCCCUCUGCAUUCAUUCAAGGAAAUGCAUUAUUUAUACUACCCCCGCCACAUCCAAGUUAUUGUUUACAUUCAAACCGUAAAACCACGCAGCGCUUCGUCAAGCUGGAGCUAAAGCUUCCUAUUUCAUCGCAUAACUCGUGUAAGAGCGGCGGAGGGGAAGAGAAGAAUAUCACAACAGUACAUCUUCAUGGUUCCAGCGCUGGAGGGAUUUCACCUCCCACUCUGACACACAGCAGCAUAACAACAUCAACAUCCACGAAAUGAAGAAGAUUCAUACCACAUCUCUGUGAAAACAACGGCAGUUUCUUUCAUAUGAUAAAUGAUUGAAUGUGCACCGUGAGAAAUGCUCAAAAGGUCCACACGGAGGGUGUUGCAGACUCUCUCAGUGGACGUUCUGAGCCACUUCAUUCCCAGUGCUUAAGUUCGACAGCAAUAAUCCUGCUGGAUAACAUGUUCUAAUACAACAUGACUCCCAAUACAAUAUCCGAAUCAAUGAUUUAAAUACUAGAUUCAAACCUACGGGUAGAACGAACCGCAUGACUAAUAAUGUGUCCUAACGGAAUGUGAAGCACGAUUCCAUACAAAGUCAAAUGCAAAUUUGGGCAGAUGACACAAGAUGAAAAUGAACUGUGCCAUUGUUUUGAACAAAUCUUAACAGCACUACAAAAUCACUACAAACAUGCAAGCCCCUUCAUCAUUUCAAGUGUUUGAUUGUAAAAAGAGAUGUUAUGUGUAGACAGAAAUAAGGAACUUGCAUAUGACACGCUAGUACAAAUUGUACUAUGUACUUGUAUUUCAUUAUUAAUUAAUUCAAUCCGGAGAGACUUGUUGAAAUUUGAACAAUGCUUUAUUAUAACAGGUAUAAUAUGAUAUUGCAAGUUGUUUGGGGCUUGGACUCCAUCCUGCCGCAGGAUAGACCCGGGGCCGGGAACUCGAGCCGAGACGAGGCAUAUCCCCCCCUUGGGAGUCCAGACACUGGUGGUGGUGGUGGUGGUGGUAGAGCCCAAGUUGCAUAACUCUCCUAUGCCAGGUUCUGCUGUAGAUUGGAGGUGUCAGGGUUGGUGGCGGGUCACCGUUGGAGCGUGCUGAAAUGACAACUGACAGCACAAGAGAGGAGAACAGUUUUUAACGUUUGCCUGCCCCAAUGCGAUUGGUUUACGGUAACGACACCCACGUCUGAUACUACCCGACCCCGCCUCUAAUCAGCUGGCCGUGCGCCCCCAGGGAGAGAGGAGGCCGCCAGGGAACGGCACAGCCUGUCCAGUCUUCCUGACUGAAUUUUCGCCUAAGCUUCAUAUAAAGUAACUUACAAAAUAUUUGACACACAGGGAAAAGCAAGUCAAGGUAAUAUAUCGGUUCAUCUGAUCUCAUCAGCUUCGGAAUUUGUUGCUGAGAAAGCUUAAUUAACAGCCUCCCGCUGUGCUGCAGUUUGUGAAAUGGAAAAUACUCUGUGCCAGCUGCUAGAAGAUAGAAAAUUCCAAUUGGACGAAUCUUCUCUCUGUCCCAUUGAAUGUGGAAUUCUCUGUGCAAGCUAGUGGCUUAUUUCUUAACACUGACCUCCUUGCUGUAGCAGGAGGAUACAAUUGUGAGACUUCCACGGAUGUCGACUGUGAAACUGAACCCCAUUCCUCAGACUCAGUGAGACUGACAGGCGUCCGUCAUUAAAGCUGCAACUCAAGCUCAUCAUUGGAGCUGAGAGACGGCGCCAUGUGAGAAAGACUGGCAGGUCCCGGUACGAGGCGGACGGCGACUGAGACUCAGUGUAAUAGCAUUAGACCUGCACGGAGAGAAAGGAAGGCUGGCCCGUGGUAAUGAGCAAUUUCCUCUGGGUUAAAUGGUCCUUUGCUCUGCAGCAUGACGUUCCCAGGCUUUGGGCGGAUGCAUUGUGUGAGAACUGGGUUGAACUGAGUGGACGACAGAGAAAUAAUGGGAUUCAAGGACACGGCAAGCAAGCUCCAUGAAGCCUCGAGAUUUUCCCAAGGAGCGAGCUGUGCUGCUCCCAUAUUUGAUGUCUUACCGGGUUUACCGCAGCGGACAUGCAGUUUCACCGAGACAAGAGCCAAAAUACAGGAUCACACACACACAGGUAGUGCAGAAACAAGCUCAACGAGGAAUGGCCUGCGGCUGGAUUUGUGCAGAUGAAUGAUCUGAGUGAGCACUUUUGAUGUGUGGCUUGCUUAUACACAAUGAAUACAAAACCAUUUUUUUGUACAGCACGCAGUUGAGUUCAGUGCUCGCUCCCCUUUUAUGAUUCAGUGUAUCCUGCUGGUUGCUACGCAUCAUCAUAACGAGAGCGAUUGAUAGAGAUGAAGAGAUACACAGCGAGAGGGGAAUGAAAGCCAUUCCUCCAGUCGGCUGCCGCUUUUUUUCAUGUGCACCAUGGAAGCACUCCAACUCCUCUGGAGCCGGGCCCCCCACAAUCAUCAGGCAUUAUAAAGAGUGAGACACAUCGAGUGCAACUGGGAUAACACACUUUUUUUUUUUAAUUGACAUCUCCGGUUGGACAACAGAUUGCAGACGGGGGAGAAACGCAGCCCUCUAUUUGGCCGCCUCCCCUCUGCAGUCCUUCAUUAUUUGAGGGCAUUAAAACCAAAUGAAUGUCUCCCAGACGGGAACUAAUCCCUAUGGCCUGGUGCUCCGUCUUGGCACCACCACCUUUGAUUAUUCAACAUCAAUCUGCCACAGAGAGAAUGAAAGGAGCACAAUCCGAUUAGUGACAGGUACACUCUCUGAGAUAACAGCAUUUGCUCCCUGAAGACGAAGCCAUCUGCUGGCCCUGGACAUGCUCUCCUCAUCCAUUCAUCCCCACCCAUCCCACCAGUGGUUUCCUAAUCAUUUCUGACAAGCCUCCCUUUGAUUAUUUAGAAACACUGAAGGACAAAAGUAGGGGUGUGUGUUCUCUCUCUCUCUCGAUUACAUUUAAUUGAAAUGUUGCUUGAAUGUUCCAAUUUUCCCAAAUUGUCUUAACAAUGUGGGGAUGACUUUUUGCCGGCAAGUAAAUUUAGUUAUUAAGCUUCUCCUGAACCUCCAGCUCUAAUAAUCCGUCUGUCUUUUCAUUGGUGGGGAAACCUGAACAGGGUUGACCUGUAGAUUGGAGCCAUCCUUCUCCCAAUCCCUCCUAUUAGCACCUCAAGGCCUUUCCUCAUCAAGCGAGUGGUGGAUUUCAUCUGGUAUUGUGCUGACAGCUCAUAGAUUAGACCCUCAAUCUCAACUACCUCCUCCCUCCCUCACCACCUCUGUCUACCUCUCCAUUGAGAGCUCCAAUCAUUCUUCUCUGGCUAAGUGUCAAUAAACCCACCCACACACACACACACAGGAUCUGAUUCCAGCCCAGGCUCAUUCAGCACUUUGUAGAAAAUGACAAAGUAAAAACUAUUAUAUUUCAAUUUAACAAUACAUUAACUUAAGCAAGAGUUUUAUUAGGGUCUAUUAAAAUGCUAUAUGCCUUGACUGGUAUUUGGAAUGUAGAGGAGUUUAUGAAGUGAAACCUGAUAUAAUUCAAGUGGCUUUUCCUCACCCUCAAAAACCAUUAAAAAAAGCAACAUACUGUAUUUCCCUUAGGAGCUGUUUUGCCAGUUUCGAGUGUCAUAAAAUAGUAGCACUGUGUCAACAAGGAGGUAAAAGGGAGGUGGAGAGCUAAAAUGGAUUAGCGUGGACAGGCCAUCAGGACUAUAGAUGAGUCUCCCAGAAGUGUUUAAAGCACCUGAGAAAUGCUUUCCGUUGUUAUCUACAGGGUAGUCGGAGCCUAUCAAAUGUGAUGAACUCUGACAGAAAAUCAGUGGUCACUGAGCUACUAAAGAAAGCCCCACCUCCCCACAUUCCUCCAAAAUGGAAUACAAUACAGAACAAAAGCUGCUCUGUAAAUUUUCAAUUGGACCAAUUUGGUUCCAGCGCCUCCUGUUUGCUGCGCCUGUCUACAGGUAUCCUGUAAACACAACUAGGAAACCUGCACAAGCAAGUGAAUGAACCAUUCAGGAAUAAUCACAAUUCACUGCCAUGGAUGUUUAGGCAGUAAAUGAACACAAACUGGUUAAAGCGUCUCGAAAGCCAGUUCUCAGAGUGUCAGCAGAAUAUUAAUUCUGCUGACACAAUGCAGGUCUCUAUCGCAUACCACAUUUUGGUAUGUCACAUUAAUGUUGAACCCGACCCUUUAGGCCACGACCACUCACUCCUCGGCAUUGUAUCUCUGCACAUAGUAAAUGAGAGAGUCAAUCUGCGCUAUCCCUGUGGGGACAGGCGCUGUGGAGCAGAGGGACCCACGGGGCCUCGCCAGCUGCCCCAUUAAUCUGUAUUCUCCAGUAGCGUGCUUACGUCUAUCUUUCCCCUGUUGAUGGGCUGGGAGAUGGAGUUUGGGCCAUUAAGAGAUUUUGUGGAACCUGAAAUAAGAGCUUCUGUAGCGUGAAGUAAUGUUGCGGUGUACAGUGAAAAAAAUUCACAUUUCACAUGGGCGCUAAAAAUAAGGGAUGGACUUGAACUGCCAGCUCCUCCAAACCUUCCCUCACAUGUUGUUGGAUCAAAAAGAGGACGAGGGAACGAAGAAAGAAGAGAGAAAGAAACGUAGGAUUUUUUUUUCCAUUAGACUAUGUAUUUAAGCCCAACCUGAAUGCUUCCAUCAUAACAGUCAUACAUAAAUGUUCAAUGAUGGUCGUGUGCUUUUUUCUGUGUUUGUUUGGCUGUUGUGAAAUAUAUGGCAGCAAAAACAGAAGUAAGCUACAUCACAACACUUUAAACAGCAGGACAUUUAUUGAAGCAGUGAGCUGUACUUCCUACAGGGCUGCGUGACAUUCUUUGUCUAAUAACGAGAGGAGUGAGGCAAGACUGAUAAGUAUGUGGAACCAAGGGCUCAAUUUGUUUAAAGAAAGCACAAAACAUGUGUGAAAAAGCUGUUGGUAGCUUCAGUCAAAAAAGCGGGCACUUUAAUGAGACCGUAAAUGAUAUGUGGAGAAAAAGCCUUAAAACAGUCUGUUUUCUCAGAGAUAGGAGUCUAUUUCUGCUCCAGCAUCUUUGCUUUUAGAAAAAUACAUCACCACAUUAAAGCGUAUUCAAGCAAUCAAGGACACUCAACACUAUUACAAUAAAAUAAGCUUUUCCUCAUGAUCACAAAAACAUAAAUAUGUUGGUGGUGUAGGUUUAUUUUUAAUGCACUUCCAUUGCAUAUGCUCACCCUGAUCCGAGCCUCUGAGUGCACUUCCAGAAGAAAUAGAACACAUUUGAUGUUGCUAACCAAGAUAAUAAAUACUGCAGCCAGAAAUCCCGGCAGGAUGCUUAUUCUAUCACUGUUCACUCGUAACUAUCAGUACACAGGGUGAUUUUAUUGGCAUAUGGAUUUAUUUUGUGUUCCUCUACUGUUCACUCAACUUUGAAAUUAAAAACAUAUAAUACACCACAGGUCUUUGUGCAAGCCAUCCAUGUUCUUUCUAAUCCUGCUUAUAAUGAUAAUCAUAAAGCCCUUUGCAGUGCUAACGUUAGUAACAUUUUCCACUCGGAGGCUGUUUUUCGGCUAGUAACUGUUACUUAGCAAACAUGUUCAAUCAUCAAUCCUUAAACUCUGGAUAUUAGUUGACUUAUUUUGAAGAAACACAUUCACACAUUGUAGCGCUGAAUGAUGCAAAAGACGUUGACUGGGGAGUCUCCAUAACAAGCCUCGGCAUUCCUCUGUAUUUUAUUGGCAGUCAUGUCACAUCAGAGAAAGGGACUUAUUGGCUGGCGGAGCCCAAUAACCCAAACUAAUGAGCUGUGACUUUGACACUAUUGAUGCACGGUGAGAAGGCCGUGCUGGACGAAUCCUGAUACGGACCAACCAGGUCAGCCUGACUGCUCUGCUGAGGGUGCCUCUGAAUCAACGGGCCGUUAAAAUUUGAAGAUUAAAGAUUACGGUUGAGGAGCAAUGUUCAUGUACAAGAUGGAGGGAUGGAGAGAAAAGAGAGAGGGCGAUCAAUCAGUACUUUGUGUAAUCUCCACCGCAUGGAGCAAUCUAUCAGAGCGUAUGCAUCUACAAUACAGCAGAAACCAGUCUGAAUUUGAGUUCUCUGCCUCGACCGUGCACGAUAACUGUUUUUGGUGGAAUAAGCUCUCGCCCAGAGCAUCAACACUUACACAAGCAGAAUGCGGCAUGAAAACGAUUCUCCAAUACUGAAUUAGCAUGAAGGCCUCCCCAAUGUGAAGCAGACAACAAUGCACCAAACAAUGGAUCAAACCCUGGAGAAAAUAAAGGCAUUGCUGUGAGAAGCGAAGGUUAUUACAAAGAGGCCAAACGCUAUCGCUCUCCUUUCUCAUUACCCCGAGGAGCUCGACAAAAGACACACGACCCACUGGCGCACAUGGAAAUCAAAGCCUGCGUCUGAUGGAGAGCGUAUCCACGGAUGAAGCAUGUUGCUUACAGCAUUCUAAUAAGGCGACUUAAUGGGACAUGUAGGUGGGAAUGAAAACAGGCCCAGGGCGACUCUUAUCCAAACAGUAAUGCAUAAAUAAAGUGCUGCAUCUUUAGGGGGGACUGUUACCACCAACACCCUCAUCAAUUAUCUUGAGUAUUUAUGAGUCAGAACUUCUGGAAAUAGACAUUGCUGUUAACAGUCCCUCCAAUCGGUUAAGGAAUGUGUGAGAGUGAUGACAUUGUGUUAAACAAGGCGUAGCUAUAGUUGUAGCUGUUUUGUAUAGCUAAACAAGUAGUCCAUUUACAAAGUUAAGUUUUCAACUAUUUUUGGGCAUCUGUGUUGGUGACUAAUCGAACAUUUUAAAACUUUG